GGUUUCUUCUUUCUUCUAUAGCCAACGAAUUCCAAAUCGCUCUUGCUCUCACUCGAAUCAACAAAUUUCUCUCGGUCUCCUCGCACAGAAAUGCAAAACCAACCUGGAUAUACCAUAUGCUUCUGGAGGUUUCUUCUUUCUUCUACAUCCAAAGAAUUGACUUGCGUCGGUUUCUUCUUUAGCCAUAUAACCAAGAUUGAGAGAGUUGAUUGUUGCUCCUGCAAAUCAUUCCUUGCUUUUGAUCUGCGAAUUUCUAUUUGGUUCCUGCAGUCCCCUUUUCUCGCUCUCCUCACUGUGAACUCUUUACCUGAUUUCUUCAAAUCAGUGUAUAUGUGAUUGAUUUAGGAAUUGGGCUCUGCUAUUGCAGUAAGUAUCAAAACCAGGGACUCAGGUAGGUUUGAUGAGUCUUUUUCGUGAAAGAUUUGUUGGGUUGUUUGUGAUUGUUUGGUUCACUGUUGAAUCCCAAGGUUUGAGAUAUUUUUUUUUUAUCUGGGUUUUGUUCUUCUGCUGUUAACGUUUGAAUCUAUCGCAUUCGAGAAGCCUCCAUCGCUAUCUAGAGUUCCUGUUAACGGACAACAGGCUUCCAGUCAAAAUCAAGAUCAGGAAAAUCUCGGUAAGCGUCGUAUUUCGUUUCAUCGUUCUAUCUAACAAAUGCCUACUGUAAUCGAUAUAUGAUUUCAAUUUAUUUUCAAUUCUCCGCUAUCAGUUCCAGUCAAAAUCGAGCAGAAAAGUGUUUAUGUUUAUUGUUUAAUAAAGUCACUAAAAUUUCUACCUAUGUUUAUCGCUAUUUGGACCAAUGUCUAAAACAUGAUGCAAGCUGUGUUUCACGAAGUUAACUAUAACCAAAGUAGUUAUUUUUGUUUGGCAGCUGAUCAGCAGAUACCGUUUAUCAGUAGCAGCCAGGUCAAUUGUAUUGCUCAUCUAUUCAGUCUGCUUUCAAGUAUGAAACAAACUAUUGCAAGAUACAACAAGUGUGACGAGUCUUCAGAGACCGCUUUGGUAGAAUCAAUGGCAGAGGGACUGUUGUGAUUCUUUUUUUGAGGUGCAGAAUUGUGUACAGUAGCACCUCUUGCCAUGAUGUUUUUAACUUGGAAUGAUAGGGAAAGCUUUUUUGAAGCGGCUGAAAGUGUUCCUGGGGUAAUUUUUUUUCAACUUAGUUCUUUGUUAUUUAGAUUUGGUUGUACUGAAUUUAAUUGUGAUUUAUAUUCUUAUCGAUUUUGUGAAGGUUUGGGAUGAACAAAAGCAGGGAAGUUUUGAUUCUAUCUGAUAUGAAUGUAUUCCUUGAUUGAUGACUAAGAUUGCUUUUGCUACAGUCUUGCAAUUUCAAUUUCAAAAGUGAAGUAGAAUAAAACUUCUGGAUUCUGCCUUACAUGACAGAUUUUGUCUGACCACUUUGGUUGCAAUUUUUGCAUCCCUUGGAUUUUCAGUUAAUGCCAUGGAGAUUGGUGAAUGAGAUUCAUUGAACUGCUAUGCAGGCUCUUGAUGAGCUCGAGUUAGAGCGAGUUUUAGGAUGAUACUGAAUGUUGGAUUAGCUUGGCAGUAUUGGUGGUUUGGUGCAACAGUAACUUUAUUUGUUCUUGCCUCUCUAUUUCAGACAUCAUUCGCCAUAUGUAUCAAUCGGUUCAAAAUCCCUCUGUGAAUUUCAGUAUUGGUGGAUAACAUACAGUCGCAUCAUGAAAAGGGAUCCCACUUCCAAUGUCAUGACCGAGACAGAAAUAGGAAGACUUUGAGAAAUACAAAGGAUGCUUAUGCAGAUAGCAGAUUAAAGUUUUGAGUUCUGAAAUUUUUUCUGAUGCAAAGACUAUUAAGGUCGCUUGAAUAUAUGACGAUACUUGGAGCGUCUGUCAAGGAUCUGAACCCAUGAAGUCAAGGUUGUUGUGUUGCCACUUUUGAGAGAUUCUAUUUGUUUCAAGUGCAGAGACAGAGACAGACUGUGAAAGGAAAAAAGGAGUGAUCGAUCUGGAUUUAUUUGACAAGAGGUGUAGAGAUAGAGAGAAAUUGUGAAAGCAGAAGAGGAGGAAUCGGUGUUGGAGAAGAGGCUUCAAACAUAGAAGACAGGACAUCAGUUGAUAGCAGGUAAUAUAGAAAGAAGAACAGGGAUCUGGGUCUGAGUUUGUUUUGGAUUGCUCAUCUAUUUGUGUCUUUAUUUUUCUUCUCAUACUGAGUUUUUGUUUUGAAAUGCUCCGGUGAAUUGGUUUCAGACUAAAUUCCUGUUAGCUUUGUAGUUAUCGGUUUGCUUGCAUAAUUGUUAUCAGCUUCAUAGUUGUUGCUUUCAUGGUUGUGCAUUGGAUUAUCAUUUGAACAGAAUUUGCAGCUCCA
This is a long non-coding RNA of Rosa chinensis, 2319 nucleotides long. RefSeq lists it as uncharacterized. The transcript has 6 exons. Lineage: Eukaryota; Viridiplantae; Streptophyta; Magnoliopsida; Rosales; Rosaceae. The record is from RefSeq and is a predicted model, not a curated record.